UACGGGGGGGGCAAGCGUUGUUCGGAAUUACUGGGCGUAAAGGGCUCGUAGGUGGCCAACUAAGUCAGACGUGAAAUCCCCAGGCUUAACCUGGGAACUGCGUCUGAUACUGGAUGGCUUGAAUUCGGGAGAGGGAUGCAGAAUUCCAGGUGUAGCGGUGAAAUGCGUAGAUAUCUGGAGGAACACCGGUGGCGAAGGCGGCGUUCUGGACUGCAACUGACACUGAGAGACGAAAGCCAGGGGAGCAAACAGG
RNAcentral lists this ribosomal RNA (253 nucleotides) under uncultured bacterium. RNAcentral's name for it is "partial 16S ribosomal RNA". It matches the Rfam family "Bacterial small subunit ribosomal RNA", at positions 524 to 776 of the family's 1533-position model. The record is from RNAcentral.